UGGGGAAUAAUGCACAAUGGGCGCAAGCCUGAUGCAGCCAUGCCGCGUGUAUGAAGAAGGCCUUCGGGUUGUAAAGUACUUUCAGCGAGGAGGAAGGCGUUGUGGUUAAUAACCGCAACGAUUGACGUUACUCGCAGAAGAAGCACCGGCUAACUCCGUGCCAGCAGCCGCGGUAAUACGGAGGGUGCAAGCGUUAAUCGGAAUUACUGGGCGUAAAGCGCACGCAGGCGGUCUGUCAAGUCGGAUGUGAAAUCCCCGGGCUCAACCUGGGAACUGCAUCCGAAACUGGGAGGCUAGAGUCUUGUAGAGGGGGGUAGAAUUCCAGGUGUAGCGGUGAAAUGCGUAGAGAUCUGGAGGAAUACCGGUGGCGAAGGCGGCCCCCUGGACAAAGACUGACGCUAAGGUGCGAAAGCGUGGGGAGCAAACA
Molecule: ribosomal RNA, 427 nt
Filed under: uncultured bacterium
Lineage: Bacteria
Description: partial 16S ribosomal RNA
Rfam family: Bacterial small subunit ribosomal RNA
Source: RNAcentral